Molecule: long non-coding RNA, 2507 nt
Filed under: Homo sapiens (human)
Lineage: Eukaryota; Metazoa; Chordata; Mammalia; Primates; Hominidae
Description: non-protein coding lnc-NTN3-2:1
Source: RNAcentral
UGGUUUGCUGUGUUUGGGGCCUGCUGUCACAGCACUGGGAGCCUUGGAGAGAGAUGGGGAGCUGGGAUCCCCAGGAGGUGAGAGCCAGGACUGAGGGGGGGCCUUGGUCUGUGGUGGGAAUGCAGAGAGCUGGGAAGCUCACGCCUGACAAGCCCCCUUUCUUGGGGUAGAGUGGGUGGGACGGGGCAGCUGUGAGCUGGAGAGGAGAGGGUGUCGGUGAGGAGUGCUGCGAAGGAUGCCAGGUGGCACCGGGGGCUGGGCCACUGGAAACCGCUGAGCAGGCGGCAGGACUUCUCCCUCUCCCCUCGGCCGUUCUCGUGCCUCGGGCUCACUUCCUCGUGCAGUUUAUCCAUAUGGCUGAGACAGGAGCGUGGGGUUGGCGGGCGGGAGUUGGGGCUUGGCAAGACGGUCCAGGCUGAGCUGGCAAGAGAGAAAAGCCAGAGUGGCUGGUGGAUGCGGGGAGUCACAGCUCCGAGUGGGAGGAGGGCGCUGAGGGCUCUAGGAGAGGGUAUGGGCAGGUGUAUGAAUGUGCAGCCUCUGGAGUGGGUAGAGUGGUUUUCUGGAAUGCCCGGGGACUGGAUAAAAAGGUAGAGAUGUAAAGGCUUUUAAAGUUCUAGAGGCCACGGAGCUUUCCAGCCAGGACGGUGAACUUGGCCCUCAAGGGAGGGCAGCACAGAGAGGAAGGCCCUGAGCUGGAGAGAGAGGAGGCGGGUGGUGAUGGGGAGAGCCCGGCUGCUGCUCGGCCCAGAGGAGGAAGGGUACGUUCGGGAGAGGAUGAAGACUUGGGAGUGGUGUGUUUGCUGUAGACAAUUUCCAGAGCAAGAAGGCAGGCUGGGAGCAGGGGCCGGGGGUAAAAGGCAGAUAGCAAGGUAAGGAGGUGUGGGGGAAGACCAGCGGCUGUGCUCACCGUGGUUAGUGACACUGUCACCAUCCAGCCCCGGUCAGACAUGGUCCUAUAGCUGAGGGUCUCACCAGGCAGUGGGGGCACAGGUCAGGGGAAUGGGAUCGCCAGAGGAGCAUUCUCAAAAUGUGCCUGUGCAGGCAUCUCCCACCCCUGACAUUCUGCAUGGGAGGACCAGGGGGUGGCCACCCUACAUGCAGCAGACCCCUGGUGGUCAUUCUCCUCUCAGCCUCCCGUCCUCCCCUCCCCACCUCACCACCCCCAGUGGAUGUUUCUGAUGGCUGUGGCCUCUGCACAUGCCCUCCAGGCUGCCACACCACAGAUCUUUCUGGAAUAAAAGCUUGAUCUCACCUCUCCACCCCAGUACUCUGGUGGUGCCCUGUCACUAUCGGGAUGGAGUGGUGAGCAGGCCUUGUUACCCAGUUCCCCACCCCCACUGCUUAGAGCAAGUCUUGUAUUUCCCUGCUGCUGAGUGCAGAUCCUCCCCCUGCCACCCCAACGCCCAGUCUGCCCUGCCAACCCCAGCACGCUGUAACCGCCUUCUAGAAGGGCUUCCGGAACCCAUCCAGCUCCCUGGGGCAUGCGACCACCCCGGGGCCUCUCUGCUUCUACACAUGUCUACAAAGCCACUUUCUGACCUCACUGUCAGGUGACCGAUUUCUCUCUCAGCUCUUCCUAGCUCAGUGCCAGGCACCUAGGAGGCACUCAGGAGAAGGUUCCAGAAAGAACGGGUACACCUGAGUGCACAGACAAGUCCAGUGGCUCUCUUCCGUCGUGGUCCACUGUGCCAGCUCCAUUGUUCCAGGGCUGAGGCCUAGGGCGGUGGGGCUAUAUGGCAGGAGGAGUGUCUGCACUUUGGGCCUCUGCCUGGGAUUUAUUUGUGUCUCUGAGGCAUCCAGCAGACUCUUGGAGGACAGGAUGAGGUGUUCCCUGGCCUUUCCCAGCACGUAGGUGGGAGGCCUGGGCCCCUCAUGAAGAAAUCAGACUUGGCGUGGACUUGCAAGGAAGGUCCCCCAGCCGGAGGAGGCGUCAUCCCCUCCCUGGGGCUGAAUGCUGGGGCCACCUCUCCCCUCAUGCCUGCCAUCCACACCCCGCUCCAGGUCUGCUUUUAGGCCCCAGUCCCUGCCCCAUCUAGUGUGUUCUUCCAGCCUCCCUCCACCUACUCUCCCAGCACCUCUGUGAUGUUGUGAAAUAUCUAUUUGGUCUUUGUCCUUGUUUAGUGACAUACAACUCCUGAAAUCCUCAGAAUCUCCGUGGUGCUCUUUCUGUGCGCUGGUGUUGACUGAUAGCUUCCGGGUGGCGCUGGUCACUGGAAAGACCAAGGCAGGAUUAGCGGGUUAGAACUUUCAGCCCCACCCCCAACCGCGGGGAGGGGAGAGGUCCAGAGGUGGAAGGUCAAGUUGAUUGCCAGUGGGGUAAUCAGUUAUGCCUACUUAACAAGGGCUCCAUGUCAACCCUAGAAGACAGGACUUGGAGAGCUUCUGGACAGCUGAAUAGGAGGGAGUGCCUGGAGGGCAGCACCGUGUCCCUCUCCCGUACCUCACCCUAAAGGUCUCUUCAUCUGUGUCCUUUGUAACAACCUUUAUAAUAAACUAGUGAAUGUAAG